Long non-coding RNA from Homo sapiens (human), 12455 nucleotides. RefSeq lists it as uncharacterized. The record is from RefSeq and is a predicted model, not a curated record. NCBI's taxonomy places the organism in Eukaryota, Metazoa, Chordata, Mammalia, Primates, Hominidae. The transcript is spliced from 2 exons.
GCGGCCAGACUCGCACGUCACUUGGUGCUUUUGUGGUCAAAAAGUAACUUUGGAGCCACAGCUAACUGUGCUUAGACUCUCCCAGCCAGGCCAGCUGAAUGCUCUGUCGUGGUUAGUCCCGGGCGGCUGCUCACCGCCUCUGAGCUGGAAUGGGAGCAUGCCACAGCUCCUCCUGCUUCCACACGUGCAGGCCCUCUCUCGUUGUUUUCAGAUUUGCCCGAAGCAGCUCUCGUAUCCGUGGAUGCUGCCUGUGGUGUGGAUGUUUUGGGGGUUGAUUCUCCCCUCUCUAAAGCCUCUGAACUUGGAGGCAGGAGUUCUCACCAGCAGCACCAGCCUCGCCUGGUGGGGGACCCUCAGAAAUGCAGGUUCUGUGGCCCACCCAGGCUUGCAGGAUCCCAUACUCUGGGCUUGGGUGCUGGGGGGCACCAGGGCUCAAGGUGCUCCCCGAGGAGAGGAGGAGUGGCUUCCAGAGCGGGCCUGGGCCUGGCAGCCACAUCCCUGCCGGGGUAGGCCUGGGCCUGGCAACCCUGCAGCCGCGUCCCUGCUGGGGUGGGCCUGACUCCCCCGGGCUGUGGUGUGGCUUCCUCACCUUCCUCACACCUUGCGGGAAAGCCACGUGGAGUUAGGCUGUCGAGGGAGGGGUGUAAUGACCGCGCCAGGGACGGGCAGCGUCUGCACAGAGCCAUGCUCCCUCUGCACCCCAGGUGUUGAUGUGGAUCCCGGGUAGCCGUGGGUGUUGGCAUUUUCUUCGUUCCACCUGUUACCUCGUCAGCUAUAGGCCCCAGGCCCUAGAUCUGCUGCUUUGGCAGCCACAGAGCAGCAAGUGUGUCCAGCCCCAGGGCUCCAGGCUACGCGGCAGCACAGAGGAUGUUUUCCGAGCACACCCCAACAGCAAAAAACCGGGUGCCCCAGCCCCGUUAUUUAGGGAAUGAUGCAAGCCGGAAGGGGUGUUCAGCAGAGUGCCUCGUAUUUUUAUUUUCUUCCAUUUAGAUAAAUAGUGGAGAGAAGGUGGCCGCAGGGACAAAUGGCUGUUUGCCAACGCAGCAGCCGGCGGCAGGGAAUUAGCGGGCAGGGCGCUGGGGUGAGGCGUUUUCGCCAGCACUUGCAGAUGAUGUUAAUGUGAUGUUUGUGGCCUGUGUGCUUGAUGCCAAUUAGUACCUCCCUCGUUGGUGCUUGAAGCAAGGAAAUGCGGGAGACACCUGAGCGCACAGUGGCCCGUUUGACAUUUAAAGUCUCCACCCUCCCAGGUGGGAAAGGUCAGACAGCGCUGCACCACGCUCCGUCACUGCAGGCCUGCACCUCCCCAUCCCUGCCUCGGUUUUUACUGACCGAAAGCUUGUUAUUGCUCAGUGGGAAGGAUAUUAGAUAGGACAAGAAACGAGGCUGUGAAAGGAGGAGUGGAAAUAAAGCAAUAGAGAAAUAAUGGCCCAGUCCACCCUAUUUGCUGUAAAUUAUGUCGGUGAGGGGCACUGACGUCGCCCUUUUCACUGUAUCUGGAUGAGGGGCGGGUGUAGGAAUCGAGGCUGUUACUUGGAGGGUAAAGCAGGACCAUGAGUGUGGAGAGAGCUCUGAGGUUUCUGUUUGUUUUGUUUUUUGGUUUGUUUGUUUUUUUUUUUUUUUUGAGACGGAGUCUCGCUCUCACCCGGGCUGGAGUGCAGUGGUGUGAUCUCAGCUCACUGCAACCUCUGUCUCCUGGGUUCAAGUGAUUCUCCUGCCUCAGCCUCCCGAGUAGCUGGGACUACAGGCAGCCCUGGGUUUUAAUGGAUGUAUUUUCACCUGCCUGUGAGUAGCGCCGGUGCCUGGUGCCGCCCGUCUCUGCGGACACAGCUCAGUGCUUGGGUACUCUCCCUGCGUCUUCUGGAAUCUUCUGGAAUCCCGUCUCUGGUUCUGCCAUCUGGGUGUCUUGGGCUGAGGGUGCAGAAAUCUAUCAAUACAGAUGCCACUGAGAGGAUCCAGGUGUUCUGGAGGACUCAGGAAACUUGAAACAGUAAUUAAAAAUAUCUUUAAAAUGUACCCUCAACAAUUAUUCCAAAUCAAGUGGCCCGUGUGUGCGCAGCAGCGACACGGGAGAGGCUGGCUCUGCGUUUCCACAGAAGGAGCCCUUUCCAUUGAAACGCGGGAGAAAACGGUCCCCUGCACGGAGAAUGUCAGGAGCUGUCAGCAUAUCUCAUUUGUAGAAAUUAGUAAUUUAAAGAGUUUUGUGAUGUAUCUGUGGCAGAGUGGAUUUCUGUCUCUGCAAGUGUGAGGUAAAAGCAGCUAAAAAGAGGGGGUUUUGGGGGUUAGUUUUCUCUUUCAGUUGGUGGACCACAAAUUGGAUAAAAAUAGAAUUUGUGCAUAAUUUAAAAACAAACGAGAAUAGAAAGCUCUCAGUUGCCGUGGAAGCUCCUCGUAACCGCAGACGUGCCCUCGGUGCCGUCGGGUUAUUUUAGUACAUCCUUUGACGCGGCCCCUUUCCCGCUUUUCAGAAACGAGGCUCAUCGCACUGGCCUGGGGGCGCGAGGACGAGGCCGUGGGUAGUGGGCGCUGCGGGCGGCUGGUCAGAGCCACUGGGAGCCGUUGGGAACAACUGGCGCGGGAGUUUCCUGCAUUUGAGAAAUGCUGUUCUCUUCGUUGUGAAUCGUCUGUCCGCUGCAUCUCAAAAAGCUUGUCCAGAAAAUUAAAGCCCGCUGUCUCCUGCAGUGCAGCUGAGCCCUGGAGGGUGGCGGGGGGCCGGGGGAUGUGGGUGUCAGCUCUCGCGGCCAGGGGCACGCUGUGCCCCCGCGCCCGGUAUCCCCGUCCUCCCGCACCCGGCGUCCGCGUCCUCCCACGCCCGCUGUCUCCGUCCUCCCCAUCCCCAUGUGUUUCGCAGUUGGGAAGUGAAGCACGUGAGCAGAACGCAGCACCUUCUCUCCAGGAAGCAUUCGGAGCAUGGACUCUGGGUUAGGAAAGGGUGUUUGCUCCUCUGGAUAGGUGCUCGCUCUUACUUGUGGGUGCUGAGGGGCGUGAGGGGGUCCGGCAUCCGGGUACCUGUGGGCGCUGAGGGGCGUGAGGGGGUCCGGCAUCCGGGGCUUCUCCCAUUUAGGGCCUUUCCUUCAGAGGGAAGGAGGCCAGCCCCCUCCAGUGAGCACUGAGCGUGCCCCCUGCCGUCUCUGUGGGGAUGUCAUUGUUCCCACGCCGGGGAGAGACCACCCCAGGCCAGCCCCUAUUCUUCUGGCCACAUUGCCAUGAUCACACCGUCCGCACCCUGAGGCCACCCCCAUUACGGCUGCCACGGCGCUAAAAACACCAGCAUCAAAGCAACAGGGCCGUGGUUUAGCCUGGAAGAGCGGGGCCCUGGAGCCGUCUGCGAGGGGGUCUGGGUGGUUCAGGAUGGCCGGCAGCCCCUGGUGGACGUGGUCCCUGCGGGGUCUGGCGGGACCUCGGCCAUGGUGAUGGGUGCGCCCCCUCUGCAGGGUGGGGCCUGCGGGUAAGGACAGUCCCGCCCCCUGUGCGUGUGAGGGGAUAGUGGAGAGAGGGGUCUGGCGUGGGCCUCACUGCUCCUGGGAAACCAAAGAUGAAGACGCCUGCUUAGGACUCACCUUGCCCUGGUAGAACAAGUGACUCAGACAGAGCCUCCCAGAGGCUUCUGGCCAGGCAGGGAGUGACCAGCAGCGCAGCCAGCCUCAGCUCCUGCCCACACAGCCCCCUUGUCACCGGCUCCUCCUGCCCCUGCUCCAGCACCUUGGCCACCAGUUCUCGGUGGGCCGGUCUGGAUCUGCCGAUGCCGGGACCUCGCCAGGCCGCUGGUUGCAGGGGAGGCUGAGGGGGCGUCCGCCUGCUGUCUGCUUCUCACCAGCAUUUCCAGUGAGGCAUGAAAGUGAUGCGUGGCGGAUGUUUCCCUCUGGCCUCAGCUUUCCCCCAAAUCCCAGCUCACACUGAGUGUCCUGAUGGUGGCACCUCGGGCAGCCGCCACCCUCUGCCCUCCACCCUCUGCCCUGACGGCAGGCUCUGCCUGAGGGGGAGGGUCUCUCUGUACACACAGUCUCCUCACCCUGGAGGGCCUGCUCUGCUCUCAACGGAGCUGGAACCAGGAGUUCGCGAGUGCUCUGGGUGGCUGCUGGCUUUUCUCCUUGUCUCACCUCCUCAUCCGCACACAGCCUCUGCCCUCAGCGCUGCUCACCUCGGUAUGUAGGCAGCCGGCAUCAGGAUGGUCUGGGGUGAGACAGGCAGUGUUCUUCCCCUUCUCUGGCCAGGGAGGGUGGAGAAGCACCCGGGCACAGCCAUUGAGGCCUUUUCGUGCAACUCAUUGCCUUUCUGGGCGUGAAGGUGGAGGCUGGUCCUCCACCUGCGUGUUCUCCAUCUGGGGGACUGUGGUCCCGGAGGAGACCUGGAGUCCGGCUCCCCGCUCCGUCCGAGGAGGAGCUGAGCGGCGUGAGCAGUGCCCGCCCUGGUCACUCUGCCUUGCUUUCCUCCUCUCUGUUUCUGGUUGUGCCUCCUUCCUUCCCUCCUGCUCUCUUUGCCGUGGACUGCAGCCCCCUCGCCAGAUGUGUUCCUCACAUGAGUCAACCCGUCCUUGGCCUGCGUCCUCCACUGCUCGUGGCAGCUACACUCUCCCGGAGGUGGCCGGGAAGGGCCCAGGGCCUUGAGAAGAUGUCUUUGCAGCACGUCCCCGGCCCUCGGCCUCCACCUCCAUGGCACCCACCAUCCCACGGGGGCACGUGGACCUCUGUGGGAUAUAGCCUGACCUCUGACCCAGGGGUCAAAUAACUCAGGUCUGUUUACCAAGUCACCAAAAUAACCUGCCCGAUAGCAUCUCACCCAUCACACGGGAGGCCGGGCUCGUGUGAAUAAUUAAUAGGUCACUGGAAUGUGAAACGAGAAGCCUCGGCCCGUUCUGAAACAGCAUUUUAGGUUUGCAGCUUAUAAUAUUGUCAGUUAGGAGAAGGGCCAACUGAGUCUGCAAAGAGGUGAGGGCGGGUGGUCUGGGAUCCUGCCUCAGCCGCGCGGGUGAGAGGGGCGGGCGGGUCAGGCGAAGACUCAGAGUCAGGAGGCCAGACUGGCCCCAGGGAGGGCUCCUGGCCAUACCCCAAGCUCAGGACGCAGGGUGGGGCGGGCCCGCUGGUGCCCACAGUGGCCUUGGUGGGCCUCUCCUUCCAUUGCCCAGCUUGUAGGUCAACUUUGCCUCCACAGAUCCGUAACAGACGUUUUUUCUGUCAUGUAAGAAACUUGACAGCUGAAGACCAAGGAGUGGAGCCUCCCGUGAGGCAGCUCUUCUUUUCCGGUUGUUAAAAUGCGCGUCGGGCCAGUGGUUCUGACUAAUUCUCACUUUGUGUGGUACCUUCAGCUGGCAGGGGCUCGGGGAGUGUUCAGUACCGUGAGGAGCAGGUUCCUGAGAGCCCGUGAAUACCGUGGACAGAUUACCACAGCACGCACUGUUCCACGCAGGGCCUCAUCCACGCUUUCUUAAGUGGUUUGCCACACACAGGAGCUCCUGGUUCUCCAUGUCCCCUGCCAGGCAGGGCUGUUAAACUGGAAAGCCGGGGAGGGACGUCGCUGGGACACAUUGUUAUCUGAUCAGAGCUCCGAGGCCCCACCAGGAGCUGUGCUAUUGCAGAACCUCAAACAGCAGCCGCUCCGGCCCCGCCCCAGGAGCCACGCAGAGGCCCACGCACGGGGAGGACGCCGUGGGGUGGAAACUAAAGUGCAGGUCUGACCACAAAACCACACGCCACGGCACCGCUGCUGCCAAAUGCCGGAGGCCUGCAGGAGGCACGGAUUAAUUUUUUAUGAGUCUGCCUUGGAACCUAGACAACAGCCCUCUCCUCUUUCAGCACAAUUUCAGGGCGAAUGACCGUCACUUCCCUGGACUGCUAAGCGCAUAAACGCACAGGGAAUUUCCUAGUUCCACAUACGCCGUUGUUCCCGCAGCCCAUGCAGCUGGGAGAGCACACAUGGUUGCCGUCGGGCUGUGUCUGUUUUCCCAGGAGCAAGAACUCUCAGAAGUGCAGUGUUGAAGCCCGAGCCUUCCCCGUGUCAGCUUUUAUGAUGAACGAGGAUUCACCAUUUAUUUCUCCCCUAAAGCAAAGCCCACGGGCUCUGUUUUGAGCGAUGGGGACAGAUGCUCGGUGCUGCUGGGAAGGUGUUCACGGGGCAGAUUCGCUGUGUCAGGAGACCAACGUGGAAUGAGGUCGGCCCAGCCAGUCACUGCUUAAAAACAGUAAUGACAAUAUUUGAGAAAAUGGGUGGAAUUUUGUGGAGAUUUACUGGCACGGGGAAGGCGUGUGGCCUCUGGCAGGUCUGCGACACUGAUUUCUAACUACCUGUUCCACAGCUCCACUGCCUGGAAAAACUGGCAAAAAUGUGGCCUGGGUCUCCUGACAGGCCUGGCCAUUGGAGUGGGGGUGUGCAGCUGAGACAGGAAAUACGAGGCGCAUGAGUGUCCCCAAGCCCAGAUCCUCAGCCUCCAAAAUCUUCUAUUAGUAAUUUCAGAGCUUUGGCUUCUUGGUGCUUUGGGAAAAUUUAAGAUGACGCGUGGGCUCUGGCACGGCCGUUGCUAGUGACCUCUCCUAAUAGCGCAGAAGGGCCUCCCAGGAGGCUUUCCUAGGUAGAGAGGGGUCUGCACGCCCACUGGAACAUGCUCUAUCCCAGCCUCAGAAAACCCACAUUUGGUGCAGGUGGGACAGGAGGAGUGGACACGUCACCUGGAGACCACAUGAGAAGCGGCCAUCUGCAGCAGCAAUCACCCCGUGGGGAGGCGGCGCCCUGGCAGCUCUCAUGUGGGGCCUGGUCCUUCCUCGCUGCCUGAGCAAUGGGCCCUGCUUCCCCGCAGACACCGUGGUGCCCCUGGGCCACACCCAGCAGGUGUCCAGUGACCGAGGGUGGUGUUGGCCAUGGCAGGUCCCUGCCCGUUUCUCCGAGGACCUGGGGCUGUGACCCAGCUGGGUUCUCCCGGGAAGGAGCGGCCACUGUCUGCACUGUCCAGUGCUGAGGGUGGCAGCCAUUUCUGAAGCCUCCCAGGUUUGUGCCCUGCUGUGUCUGAACAGCUCCGGAGUGCAGGGUCUCUGUGUCAGUGCCGGUUCUAAGAGGAACGAGAUGUGGUUUCAGAGACACUCCUCUUCUCUGAGGAGCUGCUGGGCGGGACGGCUGCUUGCUUUCUUUGUCUGUGACGUUGGUGGCUGUUCCUUGCCCAGGCCCUGCCCAGGCCAGACGUGGGAGUGGCGGCUGGGAGCACCCAUGGGCGUGUGCCCGUCUGGGCUGGGCUCGUGUCCGUGGACCUGCCUCAAGCCACACCUCCCUCCUCCAGGCAGGACACCGGGCCUUGUCUGUGGACAGAGGCGCUUUGCUGGGAACAGCACAGAUGGCCCCUGGGCCCUGCGGAGCCGAGACGCACCAUCAUACACACUUGGAGCACAUAGACUGACCAGGUCUCACCCUGCGAGGCUCCCUGAGGCCAUGUCCUAGGGAAAUAGAAGGUUUCACCCGGAGAUUGGGGAGUGCAGGGCUGUGGCGCUGCAGGGUGCGGGCCCUGAAGGAGGGGCAGGGGUGCUGCUGGAUGGUGGCUCUUCCACCCCAGGAUUCCUCGGGCCCUUCACCCCUGUGUGUCUGGACUGGGUAUCGCUGUAGCUGUCGGGCUCUGGAGGUGCACAUGGCUGCUGGGCGGGCAGCGCUCCUGGGCCUCUCUCCCCCGUGAUUUCGGUUUUGAUGUGUUUGAGCCACUGACCAGCAGGCUUAGGGGCCAUUCUGGAGCUGGGAGGGCUUGUGGGGGAGGCAGGAUGAACAGGGGCUGCUUGCCGGUCCUCAGGCCACCCUGCCAGCUCCUUGAUGUGUCUCCCUGAGAUCAGCCAGGGCAUCCCGGCUGUGGGUGGGCUGUGACCUGAGCCCGUCAGGCCCUGCUGGGGUAGACUGGGGAGAAGUGCUGAGCGGAAACCACCUCACUUCUGACAAAUGACAAGCGCUCCUGCCGCUUGGUGUCAGGCGACGCGACUCUCAGUGGCACGGAUGUCUCUAGAAGGUUGCCGUUUCUCCCUUCGUGGCCGUGGGCUGUGGAUUCUGUGUGCUUCUGGCCCUGGGGUCACGGGGUUGCGGCGUUUCCCACUUGCCUGUUUCAGGAGUUGCAUUCUAGAUGAUUCUCUCUCCAUAGAAGGUCGAGGUUUCUCAGCAUGGAUUAAUUGAUUAGAUUUAAUUAAAUCUAAACGUGGUGUUUCCGGGCAGAAUCUUCUUCAGCCAAAGUGAGCGUGGCCGUCUCUUCUCUGGGCGCUUCCAGGUGCGUUGGGGCCCCUGCACCCUCCACGUCAGUGCCCUGGCUCCGUGGCCCUGUCGGUGCUCUGGUGAGUCUGGGGUUCGUGCCGAGCGCCAUUGCCUCCAGGUCGAGGUGGGAAGCGCGCUGGUGGGGCAAGGUGGUCCCUGCAUGGCACAGGUUGGGAGAGCAGCCGGGAGGGCAGCGGGCCGAGGCGGUGGGGGAGGGCACCAGUUCUCCACGGCAAGCACGGCCUCUGGGGCUGCUCUUCCGGAGAGACGUGGAGACCCGCGUGCACGUGUGGAGACUGGCACGUGUGAGGGGCCCACAGGUGUGGCCGGGCGGCCUUUCUCCUCCCCACCUCUGUCCACCCUCGCCGAGGCGUCGGUCCUGCUGAGCAGCCUCUGCUGCCUUCGUGCAGGUGACAGCGCACGUGCCAUUCACGGGCGCCAUGUCUCCAAGAAGAGGGGCUCCUGCCGCGUGCCUGUUCUGGGGUUGCCACUCAACAUCCUUCCAGCACCUUCUCUGGGCUUCCGGUUUGAAUGAUCUUUCUCCAAAGUCGGCGGAAGGGGCUAGAAAAGUAGGGACCUGGGAAGAAAGCCCAGACACCUUGGAGCCGGGGUCCGGGAAACAGGCCCUGGCAGCUCAGCGCUGCUUCUCUGGAGUGGGGAUACAAUGUUGGUUCACAGACGUGCGGUGGCGGCGGCGGGUGGUGGCAGCAGUGUGCGGUUGUUGGCGCCACGUGCUCACGCUGGGUCCCUCCUGGGGAGCUUCUGCUCCGGCGGGCCACGCCUUGCUGUAGCCUGCAGGUCAUCUGGUUGGUGUCUGGGGGAGGUCUGGGGCCCCAGCCCGGAGCUCAGCUCUGAGCAUCAAGAAACCCGAGUUUCUCCCCACUCCCACCCAGACAGCUCCCCACUCCCACCCGGACAGCUCCCCACUCCCACCCGGACAGCAGCAGCUGUGUUUGGAAGGGGACACACCAGAGCUUCCCUUGUAGCAAGUGAGGCACGCUCAGCUGGAGCCUGGCAGUCCUGCAGCUCCGCCUGCCCCCUUUUGAAAACCAAAAAUCCCAAGAGACUUAUGUUGAAACAGCCCUUCCCGGUCAGGACUGAGCCUGUGGCUGAGUGCAGUUUUUCAGUCGCGGCUGGAAGGUCCCUGUGCGGGGCGGCGAGUCCCUCUAGAUUUGCUUUACAGCCACAAAUUCAGUUUUAUCUGUGGAUCUGAACACGAUCUAUGAAUCACUAGGAAAGCAACUGUGUUCACGGGAAGGAUUCUCAGAAUUGAGCUGACACUCCGUGGUGUGAACUCAGUAUUGUCAGCUUGUGCACCGCGCGUAUGGACACACACCUGCACGCACUGUCACACACACUUGCCUCGGGCCCCCACACACACCGCCCUGAGAGCUAGGAAGACGAAUCGGUCAGUCACACGGAUUCUGCAGACAGCUUCCUUCACCAGGCAUGGUAGUGAGGGCAGCGCCCACUACUCACCCAGGGCCUCUCGUGCAGGAAACUGCAUGGACACGUCGUCCUGUUCCUGUCAUGGGAAGGGGCCUGGAGCCGUCCCUCGGGGGGUGGGGAGGAGCUAGUUUCCCAGUCGGCGCCCGUGCAUUCACCGGUCUGAGAAUCCACUCAGCAGGCUUGCUAUGUAACCUCCGCCGUUCAGGCCUCAGCAUGCAGCAAGCCCGUGGGGUCCCGUCUGCCCAGCCUCUGCCUCGGUUCCUGCCGGGCACAUGGACGCUUCCCUUGAAUCCUUCUGCCGACGGCAUCUGUGGGAGGGCAGGUACGAUCGAUCCUGGUCCUGUCCCCCUAGCCCUGGGCGGGUGUCCCGGCACCUCCAGGCACAAGGCCCCUUCCCCAGGCUGCCCAGAGACCCCAGCCCCGAGGUGCUGGUCCGCCCACCCUCUCUGGGAAGGGCUGUGCCACAUGGCGAAAGCUGCUGUGGGUCCUGGUACCUGGUGUCCCUGCCUGCCAGGGCUCAUGAUGCCAACAGUGCCAGGUUUGUGGGAUUUGGGGGUCAGGAGGGCCUGGCCCUGCUCCUGCAAGGCCGAGAUCUGUUCCCUUGGAGGGUUGAGGGAGUGUUGGCUGUAGGGUUCCUGGAGGCCUCUCUCAUGCACUCUGGGUCUGUCAGGAGGCUGGCAACUGUGGCCAAACAGGUAGAAAUAAAACCUGAAAUGAGAAAAAAACUUUUUUCUAGAACUUCCCAGAGAGCAGUGAGCUGGUGCCAGUGGGUCAGAGGCUUGUCACAUGUGGUGUGUGUGUGUGCGUGUGUGUGUGCACGCUCUGGGGGGGUGUGCACAUUUCCCAGUGUGGCUGUGCGUGUGUGUGUGCCCACGUGUGUUCACAGAACACCAGGCUUUGCCCCGACUCCUGGCUCAGGCCUGAGUCUCCAGCCAUGGCGUCCCCGUUCCUCCCGUUCCUUCUCUGCACUGCACACUGGGAACCAGGACAAGAGGUGUGCGGCGUCAGGCUGUGUCCUUCCCCCACCCACCCCGAGCCCACGCUGCUCUGGAGGGAGACCCCAGCUUCCCCCGCCUACCCCGAGCCCUCGCUGCUCUGGAGGGAGACCCCAGGCCCCUCAGGCCCUUUCCCGCAUCUGAAGGGGCCAGGGCAGGGCGUCCGGCAGAUGAAGCUGCCCCUUAAAGCCAGGUCUGGGCCGGUUUACAGGGAAGCACUGCUCACGUACAACCUGGCAGACCACACCAGCGCCGCACACACAGGCACCCCUGUGGGCACCCACGUGCCCGACCCCGCAGACCACACCGGCACUGCACACACAGGCACCCCCGUGGGCACACACGUGCCCGACCCCACAGACCACACCGGCGCUGCACACACAGGCACCCCCGUGGCCACACACAUGCCUGCACACGCACACUUCUGGUGCACACGCCCACACUCACGGAGGCUUCUGCACACCACACAGCCAGCAGGUGAGGAAGUGGACGCUGCGUGGCUGUCUCUUGGUGGCUUCACCUGGAAUGUCACCGUGGACCCCAGAGCCCGAAGCCCCGGCAAGCACAGAAAUCACACCGGCAGCCUGUCCCACUUCGGGCAGGAACACCUGGCUCUGCAGCAGUGGCUGCCGUAUCAUCCUGGCCAGGCCCCUGUACCGAGGGUGGAGCCACGGGGUCUCUGAUGCCUUCCUUCUCGUGCUUUGGUGGAGAAUGUGGCUGGACGUCCUCCCAUGACAGAUGCACUCUCCUGCCUGGUUCCCUGGCCCCGGGCCCAGCCCUGAGAGACGCACCACGGCCUUCACCUGGAAGUGUCACCUCUGGCUGCUGUUGUGGGUGAUGAGGAUUCCAGGGCUGAGAAGAGGACCCUAGACGCUGUUCACACAGCGUGGCAAUCUCUCAAAUUAAUCCAGCAUGGGGGGAAUCGGGGUUGAAACCGGUUUGUGAGCCGGAUUUUCUGUCCCUGUGUACUUCCUUGGGGCAAUUUGAAAAAUGCAGAUUUUACUCGUAGGCCCUAAAUGGAUAAUUUCCCUUUAGGCUGACGGCUGCUCCUGUGCCCUGCCUGGAGAGAAGCCUGACUCCAGGUCGCCUUGGCUCCGUUUCUGUGCAGCAGCUCAGACUAUGGGGUGGAGGGUGAGACAUUCCCACCCGUGAGCUGCCUCUGUCCACCCCACACCUCCCUCCCCUGGGUGCACGCAGCUGAGUUCCACGUUGAAUAAAUUUGGCCUCAAUCAUCCACUACCCACCAUGUCACCGUGUAAGUGCUGAGGUCAGCACAGGAGCUAAAAACAAACAUUGUAACGUGUAGGAGACUCAGUAGCUCUUAUACCUCGGCAGUGGAAUAAGAAUAAUACAUUUUGUUUAGUUAAGGUUGAGGCAGAGGGAGGUCAUUGUUGUGACAGGGAAUUUUAUAAAUAGGAUUCUGACAGGUUCUGUACUGUGCCAGAGGCAGAAAGCCCAUGCAGUGGGGCCCGUGACGUAUUUAAAUGACUUUUCUUAAAAUGAACUUCAUGUUUUAAAUAAUAGAUGUUUACCUCCCAGGUGAAACCUUAAAUAUUCCCAUUUUCACUGAAAUGGCAUGUUUUUUAAAGGAUACAGUCAUACCCCAAAUUCACAGCAUUCCACACACCAUCAGAGAACUGCCACAGGGAUCCUGGGGGAAUUUUAAAUUGUAGUUUUAAGACCACGUGACCCUGGAGCUGCCCCGGUGCCCCUCCCCCACCCCCCGAGGUGGUUUUGGUCAGCGACUCAUUUACAUUUUUUUCUAUGUAAAUUAAAUUUUUAGGUAUUAAAUCUCGGAAAAUGGAA